GGGUCAAAAUAUAACACCGUCCGAUCCCUAGUCGGCAUAGUUUAUGGUUAAGACUACGACGGUAUCUGAUCGUCUUCGAUCCCCUAACUUUCGUUCCUGAUUAAUGAAAACAUCCUUGGCAAAUGCUUUCGCAGUAGUUAGUCUUCAAUAAAUCCAAGAAUUUCACCUCUGACAAUUGAAUACUGAUGCCCCCGACUGUCCCUAUUAAUCAUUACGGCGGUCCUAGAAACCAACAAAAUAGAACCACACGUCCUAUUCUAUUAUUCCAUGCUAAUGUAUUCGAGCAUAGGCCUGCCUGGAGCACUCUAAUUUUUUCACAGUAAAAGUCCUGUUUCCCCGCCACACCCAGUGAAGGGCAUGGGGUUCCACAGAGGGAAAGGCCCGGCCGGACCAGUACACGCGGUGAGGCGGACCGGCCAGCCAGGCCCAAGGUUCAACUACGAGCUUUUUAACCACAACAACUUUAAUAUACGCUAUUGGAGCUGGAAUUACCGCGGCUGCUGGCACCAGACUUGCCCUCCAAUUGUUCCUCGUUAAGGGAUUUAAAUUGUACUCAUUCCAAUUACAAGACCCAAAAGAGCCCUGUAUCAGUAUUUAUUGUCACUACCUCCCCGAGUCGGGAUUGGGUAAUUUGCGCGCCUGCUGCCUUCCUUGGAUGUAGUAGCCGUUUCUCAGGCUCCUUCUC
RNAcentral lists this ribosomal RNA (685 nucleotides) under fungal sp. K3. RNAcentral describes it as "partial 18S rRNA". Lineage: Eukaryota; Fungi. The record is from RNAcentral.